AUCACAAUGCCCCCUCCCAUGGUAGGGGGGAUCACAAUGGUCGUGGGCAGGGCCAGAACUUACGCAGCACACGCCCUGGACCUGACUCUGUGCUAAGCAUAUCACAGGCCUGACUGCAUUUAGUUAACUGCCAAACCACUGUCCUGAUUCUUCAGAUGAGGAAACGGAGGCUUAGGGCGACAAAGUCACAUCAUUAUUAAGUCGCAGUCAGGGUACAAACCCAGGUCUGUCUGCCUGGGCCUGCAACAACUAUUAGAUUUUGCCCUUCGAUGAAAUGAGGCCUCAGCACUCCUUCCCGCACCUGCUGCUCAGCCUCAACACGGACUCACAAUUAACUGAUGCUGCCAGUGGUGCAAGACAAGCCCGUCACUGCUUCUGCCCUUUCUGCUCCCCUCUCACGCCUCUUGGAAGAAGAGAUCCUCAUGUUCCGGCUGAGCAUGGAACAGGCCACACAAGGCCGGCCUUCUGAGCAGGGCUGCCAGGACCAGGGUGGAUGCUUCACAAAAAGACUGGUAGACAUCAUGACCAGCGCAGUUUGCUCUGAGUAAACUCCUCUCUGGAAGGCAUUUUCAGUUAGGAUGCUCCAGCCGAAAGUAAUGUAAGCUGAACGUAGUUGUAAAAAAUGUGCCUAGUAACGUUAUUUGAACAAAAUAAAAACCUACCCCACCAGUUCUCUCCA
Long non-coding RNA from Suricata suricatta (meerkat), 679 nucleotides. RefSeq lists it as uncharacterized. The record is from RefSeq and is a predicted model, not a curated record. NCBI's taxonomy places the organism in Eukaryota, Metazoa, Chordata, Mammalia, Carnivora, Herpestidae. The transcript is spliced from 2 exons.